GUCCAUAGUCCAUACCCACGGGAAAACUGCAUUCGGACGUCUGCGUUCUUCUCUUCUUGCCCCGCUCCCCGCGGUCCACCCCUUUUCCUCCCCACUUCUGUCUCCCCUCCUAGGGUUUUUCCGGCUCCGAGCUCCCACCUCCAGCGAGCGGCAGAGAUUUGCGCCCCAUGGCCGGAGUUCGGUGGCCUCCAGAGGAGUCCGAGCUGCUCCCGCCACGCCAGCUGACAACCGCCGAUUUGAUCUCUGACGACGACCGGUCCGUGGCCGCAGACUCCUGGUCCAUAAAGAGCGAGUACGGGAGCACGGUCGAUGACGAGCAGCGCCACGUCGACGCUGCCGAGGUCCUCGCCGGUGGCAAUUUCCCGGCCACCGCCGCCUUCGAUUACAGUUCUGAUAAGGAUGAGCUGGAUGCUAGUGAGGUUGAAGCAUCAAUGUUGGGUUUCCAGAGCUACUGGGAUGCUUCUUAUGCAGCCGAUCUUGCAAAUUUUCAUGAACAUGGCCAUGCUGGUGAAAUUUGGUUUGGUGUUGAAGUCAUGAAUACUGUUGCAACUUGGACUAAAAACUUGUGUGCCAACAUGCCCCAAGGUUGGAAUGCAGCUGACGACAGCAAUUUCAAAACUGAAUCUUGCGAAGCCUCCAAAGACUUGUCCAGUUGGAGGGUGCUUGACAUUGGAACUGGGAAUGGUCUGCUUCUGCAAGAGCUUGCAAAAAAGGGGUUUUCUGAUUUGAUGGGAACUGAUUACAGUGAAGGAGCAAUCGACCUUGCACGAAACCUUGCAAUUCGUGAUGGAUUUCCCCAUAUAAACUUCUUGGUUGAUGAUGUUCUGGAGACAAAAUUGGACAAAAAAUUCAAUGUUGUAAUGGACAAAGGCACGUUAGAUGCCAUUGGAUUACAUCCAGAUGGCCCUGUCAAAAGAUUACAUCAGAAUGUUCCACAAUUUUUGAAUGAAUCAAAUUUACCUUACAAAAUGGGAAAAAGAUUGAAUGAUUGUCUUCAUCACAACUGAUACAUAACCGCAUAAAGGGCUGGAUGAAUUAUGUGUUCAUGCUUUUCAGAACUACAUAUGUCCCCACUGUCUUGACUUGCUGUUAUGGGGUGAGCAAUGGACAAUAUAUUGGGAGUCAGUAUCAGACUUGGUAGUGCCUGGUGGGUUACUGGUCAUUACAUCUUGUAACAACACAAAAGAUGAGUUGUUGCAAGAGGUGGAAAAGUUCAACAAAAGAAGGCAUACCAUGCAGGACCUGGACCAAGGGGCGGGAAGCGAGCCUUCUGUUUUCCAUUACCUUGAUCAUGUCCGGACAUAUCCUACCAUCAUGUUUGGUGGUGUGGCAGGUUCUCGUGUGUGCACGGUUGCAUUUCUUCGAAAUUGAAUUUUGAAAUUGUUUAUAAUUAUUCAUGGAGCAAUGUUGGUGGCUAAACAUUUUGUUGACCGAGAGUUCCCUGUAAUUUUUUAGUCGAAAAUAGUUGUUAUUCUAUGAUUUUUUUUAAUUUUUUUUUUGUAAUAUUCACAAUCUCAGUA
Non-coding RNA from Elaeis guineensis (African oil palm), 1520 nucleotides. The record is from RefSeq and is a predicted model, not a curated record. NCBI's taxonomy places the organism in Eukaryota, Viridiplantae, Streptophyta, Magnoliopsida, Arecales, Arecaceae.